Molecule: long non-coding RNA, 748 nt
Filed under: Olea europaea subsp. europaea
Lineage: Eukaryota; Viridiplantae; Streptophyta; Magnoliopsida; Lamiales; Oleaceae
Source: RNAcentral
AAGUUGCACUGCGUCUGAUCCAUGUUUGGUUAUUCUGGAGGAUUGUUUGCUCUGGAGGUGUUCAGAUGCUGAUUUGAAGUGAGAAAUUGCUUCUGUGAGUGAUCCAUUUUUUUUAAAUACCUUUGUUUGUUAAGAAGAAAUCAUUCUUAAAUAAUAUUCCCAAGUUUGAUUAUUUACACGCAUUUUUGUGCUUUUAGGGUUCACUCUUGCGCAUCUGCAAUUCCAGUAAGUAACCCCUAUUUUCAUUUAUUGUCCCGCAUUUAUCUAUUUUAGAUAACAAAAUGAGUUAAUGACAUUAACUGCUUAUGGUUCCUAAUAUUCAUGGGUGGUCCUCUAGUUCCUUCCAAUGUAUUUCCUAGUUAAUAGUUGGAGGUUUUGUCAGCCUUUUGAUUUGCAUGCCAUUUGCUUGGGUUUCCUACAAUAAUCCUUUGGCCUUGGUGCAUUUCUGGUUAUGCUUAAAAAAAGAAACUACUAAUAUGAAUAUAAGUUUUAAAACAAAUUCUUUUUAUUGGUGGAAGUUGAAAAUUUGGAAGUUAAGUGUGUGAAAGUAAUCUCUACAUUAUUGUCAAAUCGAGUAAACCUCUACUUAUUAAGAAUUUUAUUUUAUUUUUUUAUUAUUUUUUUUCAAACAUGUUUGGAAAAAAUGUUGAAGUAAAUUUUAUUGACUUUUAAGCUUAACCUAUCACGCUGUCAGUAAUGCCAUCCAAUGUUUGAUAAAAAAUCAGCUGCGCCAUUCUUUUGAUGCACG